RNAcentral lists this long non-coding RNA (212 nucleotides) under Medicago truncatula (barrel medic). RNAcentral describes it as "long non-coding RNA (MTRU_LNC000235)". Lineage: Eukaryota; Viridiplantae; Streptophyta; Magnoliopsida; Fabales; Fabaceae. The record is from RNAcentral.
UAGGAUUAGAAUCAUAUAGAGCUAGUACAUAGUAAAGUUCUAUGGAAUGGCAAGGUAACUUGCUGCGCAAGCUAUCUAUUAUUACAAGUAAUCACAGUUUAACACCUCCCUCAAGCUUAGCUAGCAUGGUACAAAUCUAACAUGUUAAGCUUGGAUAGAAAAGAGUGAAAACUCUUAGGUGGUAGUGGCUUUGGGAAGAAGUUUGCAAGCAG